GGCCGAGUGACGAAAUUGGUAGACGUAGCGGACUUAAAAUCCGCAGCCUUUGGCGUACGGGUUCGAUUCCCGUCUCGGCCACCA
This 84-nucleotide transfer RNA is filed under the name Duodenibacillus sp. Its description in RNAcentral is "tRNA-Leu". It matches the Rfam family "tRNA". Rfam says of the family: Transfer RNA (tRNA) molecules are approximately 80 nucleotides in length. Their secondary structure includes four short double-helical elements and three loops (D, anti-codon, and T loops). Lineage: Bacteria; Pseudomonadati; Pseudomonadota; Betaproteobacteria; Burkholderiales; Sutterellaceae. The record is from RNAcentral.